Molecule: ribosomal RNA, 512 nt
Filed under: uncultured bacterium
Lineage: Bacteria
Description: partial 16S ribosomal RNA
Rfam family: Bacterial small subunit ribosomal RNA
Source: RNAcentral
GACGAACGCUGGCGGCGUGCCUAAUAUAUGCAAGUCGAGCGGACAGAAGGGAGCUUGCUCCCGGAUGUUAGCGGCGGACGGGUGAGUAACACGUGGGUAACCUGCCUGUAAGACUGGGAUAACUCCGGGAGACCGGAGCUAAUACCGGAUAGUUCCUUGAACCGCAUGGUUCAAGGAUGAAAGACGGUUUCGGCUGUCACUUACAGAUUGGCCCGCGGCGCAUUAGCUAGUUGGUGAGGUAACGGCUCACCAAGGCGACGAUGCGUAGCCGACCUGAGAGGGUGAUCGGCCACACUGGGACUGAGACACGGCCCAGACUCCUACGGGAGGCAGCAGUAGGGAAUCUUCCGCAAUGGACGAAAGUCUGACGGAGCAACGCCGCGUGAGUGAUGAAGGUUUUCGGAUCGUAAAGCUCUGUUGUUAGGGAAGAACAAGUGCAAGAGUAACUGCUUGCACCUUGACGGUACCUAACCAGAAAGCCACGGCUAACUACGUGCCAGCCGCCGCGGUAA